UACAGAGGGUGCAAGCGUUAAUCGGAAUUAUUGGGCGUAAAGAGCUCGUAGGCGGUUUGUCGCGUCGGGAGUGAAAACACCGGGCUUAACUCGGUGCUUGCUUUCGAUACGGGCAGACUAGAGGCAUGCAGGGGAGAACGGAAUUCCUGGUGUAGCGGUGAAAUGCGCAGAUAUCAGGAGGAACACCGGUGGCGAAGGCGGUUCUCUGGGCAUGUCCUGACGCUGAGGAGCGAAAGCGUGGGGAUCAAACAGG
This 253-nucleotide ribosomal RNA is filed under the name uncultured bacterium. RNAcentral's name for it is "partial 16S ribosomal RNA". It matches the Rfam family "Bacterial small subunit ribosomal RNA", at positions 524 to 776 of the family's 1533-position model. The record is from RNAcentral.